This 305-nucleotide long non-coding RNA is filed under the name Rattus norvegicus (Norway rat). RNAcentral describes it as "long non-coding RNA NONRATT015078". The record is from RNAcentral. Lineage: Eukaryota; Metazoa; Chordata; Mammalia; Rodentia; Muridae.
GCCUCCCGCCUCCCAGGGUCUCCCCGCUGGCUGUGGGUACCUCCGUCUUCCUCGCGGCCGUCUGCUGUCCCGCACCCGUCCUCCCUGGCCUCGCAGGCGCCCCCUCCCCGCCGUGGCCCCCCACAGGUCCACGGGAGACCUUCGGACAGGGCUCUUCGGCCACAGUCACGAGGAAACUUGUCAGCAGACCCCACCGACGACAGAGCAGCGGGGAAUGGACGCGGGUUCCUAGCAUCCUCCGUGGCAGAAACCCCAGGACGGCAGUGAUUUUCUUGAAAAUGCACGCCCCGAUUUGUUUGAAAUAA